CAUUAGGGUUUUAAAUCCUAAACUGAACUUUUUCCAUUCAAUCAGCAUUAGGGUUUUAAACCCUAAACUGAAUUUUUCCUUUAGUCAGCAUUAGGGUUUUAAACCCUAAACUGAACUUUUUUCCAUUCAGCCAGCAUUAGGGUUUUAAACGCUAAACUGAGCUUUUCCAUGAAAUCAGCAUUAGGGUUUUAAACCCUAAACUGAAUUUUUCCUUUAGUCAGCAUUAGGGUUUUAAACCCUAAACUGAACUUUUUUCCAUUCAGCCAGCAUUAGGGUUUUAAACCCUAAACUGAGCUUUUCCAUGCAAUCAGCAUUAGGGUUUUAUACCCUAAACUGAAUUUUUUCCAUUCAAUCAGCAUUAGGGUUUUAAACCCUAAACUGAAUUUUUCCUUUAGUCAGCAUUAGGGUUUUAAACCCUAAACUGAACUUUUUUCCAUUCAGCCAGCAUUAGGGUUUUAAACCCUAAACUGAGCUUUUCCAUGCAAUCAGCAUUAGGGUUUUAAACCCUAAACUGAACUUUUCCCAUUCAGUCAGCAUUAGGGUUUUAAACCCUAAACUGAACUUUUCCCAUUCAGUCAGCAUUAGGGUUUUAAACCCUAAACUGAUUUUUCCUUUAGUCAGCAUUAGGGUUUUAAACCCUAAACUGAACUUUUUCCGUUAAUCAGCAUUAGGGUUUUA
This 678-nucleotide long non-coding RNA is filed under the name Nicotiana tabacum (common tobacco). RNAcentral describes it as "long non-coding RNA (NTAB_LNC017269)". The record is from RNAcentral. Lineage: Eukaryota; Viridiplantae; Streptophyta; Magnoliopsida; Solanales; Solanaceae.